RNAcentral lists this ribosomal RNA (424 nucleotides) under uncultured bacterium. Its description in RNAcentral is "bacterial SSU rRNA". It matches the Rfam family "Bacterial small subunit ribosomal RNA", at positions 958 to 1385 of the family's 1533-position model. The record is from RNAcentral.
AACGCGAAGAACCUUACCGGGGCUUGACAUCUGCGGAAAUCCUAUGAAAGUAGGCUUCGGGGCAACCCGACCGCAAGACAGGUGCUGCAUGGCUGUCGUCAGCUCGUGCCGUGAGGUGUUGGGUUAAGUCCCGCAACGAGCGCAACCCUUGUCGUGUGUUGGUCCACAAAGAUCUCUCACACGAGACCGCCGAUGAGAAGUCGGAGGAAGGUGGGGAUGACGUCAAGUCCGCAUGGCCCUUACGUCCCGGGCUACACACGUGCUACAAUGCGCCGGACAACGAGCCGCGAACUCGCAAGAGUAAGCCAAUCUCUUAAACCGGUGCUCAGUUCGGAUUGAAGGCUGCAACUCGCCUUCAUGAAGUCGGAAUCGCUAGUAAACGCAGAUCAGCUACGCUGCGUUGAAUACGUUCCCGGGCCUUGUA